CCAACCAGCAGCUCCCUUGGUAGGGGCAUGCAGAAGACCUGAUGACACAAACCCUCCAAAGAGUUUCACCCUCACCACAACAGGUGGCUUCCUGCUCGGCAGCCCAUCCUGCAUCACUUCAGUGGACUUCUCUGACAUCUACUAGACCACAUUAAAUGAAUCACAGCCUUGAAACUGAACUGGAAGGACUUCCUUCAAGGAGCCAGCAUAUGAACUUGCUGCCUAUCUUUAGCAAGGAGAUGCAAAUGACAUCCACAAACCUCUUCUGCUGUAUACCUGGAUGAAAGCAAGGCUAGCUGUGUGUCCUAUGGCACCAAGGACUGAAAGAUUGUAAGAAGUAAGAGUCCAUCAUAGAGGCCAAGCCAAAUACAACUAUGUUUUCAAGCAUAAGAUGGAUAGAUGUGGUAAACCACAAGAAGCAAACAGCCCUUUAGAGGUGUGGAUUGACCUUGCAGAGUUACAAGUGGAGCCAGGAGAAAUCAUGUUGAGUGGGACUUCUCAUCCUACCUAAGAGAGACUAACAGAUGGAAAGCUGGGUACAGAAGGGAGAGAAGGCAGUAACAGUCAGAUUUCAAUACGCUGAGACUGUGACGUGGGACUUUUGAGUGAGUAACAUCUGCUCCUAGAACUGAGUUGAGUGGGGAUCCUCCCACACCACCCAGGCAAGAGAACUAACAAUUGAUGACUGCUCCAAAUCAGUCGCCAGUCUACCUAAUACUUCUACCUGGUCUUGCUCUGUUGCCUGGCCUGAAGUGCAGUGGCAUGAUCAUGGCUCACUGCAGCCUCAACCUCCCAGGCACAAGUGAUCCUCCCACCUCAACUUCCAGAAUAUAGAAGCUGGAACUACAGUGACCUACAUCCAAAGUGAAAAGUUAUUCAGCCUCUGAAGAGAAGCAUUUUGUUUGGGGAUCUUCAAGUAUGCUUGUCAGCACCGAGAACUGGAAAAAAAUCUCUGAUUGUCCUGCAGCAAUGGCAUUAAAGGCUCCUCAUAACAUACAGAACCAGAAUUGUGCCAUAAUUUACUGAAAUUGAACAUUGCUCUGUGACUGCUAAUUUUCCAUCGAGAUGAUUCUGUCUCUAACCAAGAAAAGAAAAGUUUGUCUUCCUGACUGCUGACACUGCUGACCAAGCCCACCACCAGAUGCCUGGCUGCACACCCAGAGGGCAGCCGCUUCCCGUGGUCCUCUCGAAGAACUUCCCUUUUGCAAUGCAUGUUUAGCAAGUGGAUGAGUUUGUCUUUUCUGAUUUCUCUGCAAGCUCUGCAUUGCCCACCUGAACCAGUGCUUCAGAAGAACUAAUGGGAUCUCUGACCCUCCAACAUCCUCUUCCAGACUUUCACUUUCCUGGCUCCUUGCAGGGACAUGUAAUAAACGUGCUCUCCAGAGAAAGCCUG
RNAcentral lists this long non-coding RNA (1393 nucleotides) under Homo sapiens (human). RNAcentral describes it as "HSALNT0373497". Lineage: Eukaryota; Metazoa; Chordata; Mammalia; Primates; Hominidae. The record is from RNAcentral.